AAAAAAGGUAAGCUACUAAGAGCGAAUGGUGGAUGCCUUGACUGGUAAAGGCGAUGAAGGACGUACUAGACUGCGAUAAGCUACGGGGAGCUGUCAAGAAGCUUUGAUCCGUAGAUUUCCGAAUGGGGCAACCCAAUGUAUAGAGAUAUACAUUACCUAUAUAGGAGCGAACGAGGGGAAUUGAAACAUCUUAGUACCCUCAGGAAAAGAAAUCAAUAGAGAUUGCGUCAGUAGCGGCGAGCGAAAGCGUAAGAGGGCAAACCCAGUGCUUGCACUGGGGGUUGUAGGACUGCAAUGUGCAAGAGGUGAGUUUAGCAGAACAUUCUGGAAAGUAUAGCCAUAGAGGGUGAUAGUCCCGUAUGCGAAAAACAAACCUUAGCUAGCAGUAUCCUGAGUAGGGCGGGACACGAGAAAUCCUGUCUGAAGCUGGGUCGACCACGAUCCAACCCUAAAUACUAAUACCAGAUCGAUAGUGCACAAGUACCGUGAGGGAAAGGUGAAAAGAACUGAGGUGAUCAGAGUGAAAUAGAACCUGAAACCAUUUGCUUACAAUCAUUCAGAGCACUAUGUAGCAAUACAGUGUGAUGGACUGCCUUUUGCAUAAUGAGCCUGCGAGUUGUGGUGUCUGGCAAGGUUAAGCAAACGCGAAGCCGUAGCGAAAGCGAGUCUGAAUAGGGCGCUUAGUCAGAUGCUGCAGACCCGAAACGAAGUGAUCUAUCCAUGAGCAAGUUGAAGCUAGUGUAAGAACUAGUGGAGGACUGAACCCAUAGGCGUUGAAAAGCCCCGGGAUGACUUGUGGAUAGGGGUGAAAGGCCAAUCAAACUUCGUGAUAGCUGGUUCUCUCCGAAAUAUAUUUAGGUAUAGCGUUGUGUCGUAAUAUAAGGGGGUAGAGCACUGAAUGGGCUAGGGCAUACACCAAUGUACCAAACCCUAUCAAACUCCGAAUACCUUAUAUGUAAUCACAGCAGUCAGGCGGCGAGUGAUAAAAUCCGUCGUCAAGAGGGAAACAACCCAGACUACCAGCUAAGGUCCCUAAAUCUUACUUAAGUGGAAAACGAUGUGAAGUUACUUAAACAACCAGGAGGUUGGCUUAGAAGCAGCCAUCCUUUAAAGAAAGCGUAAUAGCUCACUGGUCUAGUGAUUUUGCGCGGAAAAUAUAACGGGGCUAAAGUAAGUACCGAAGCUGUAGACUUGAUUUUAUCAAGUGGUAGGAGAGCGUUCUAUUUGCGUCGAAGGUAUACCGGUAAGGAGUGCUGGAGCGAAUAGAAGUGAGCAUGCAGGCAUGAGUAGCGAUAAUUAAUGUGAGAAUCAUUAACGCCGUAAACCCAAGGUUUCCUACGCGAUGCUCGUCAUCGUAGGGUUAGUCGGGUCCUAAGUCGAGUCCGAAAGGGGUAGACGAUGGCAAAUUGGUUAAUAUUCCAAUACCAACAUUAGUGUGCGAUGGAAGGACGCUUAGGGCUAAGGGGGCUAGCGGAUGGAAGUGCUAGUCUAAGGUCGUAGGAGGUUAUACAGGCAAAUCCGUAUAACAAUACUCCGAGAACUGAAAGGCUUUUUGAAGUCUUCGGAUGGAUAGAAGAACCCCUGAUGCCAUCGAGCCAAGAAAAGUUUCUAAGUUUAGCUAAUGUUGCCCGUACCGUAAACCGACACAGGUGGGUGGGAUGAGUAUUCUAAGGCGCGUGGAAGAACUCUCUUUAAGGAACUCUGCAAAAUAGCACCGUAUCUUCGGUAUAAGGUGUGGUUCGCUUCGUAUUAGGAUUUACUCCGAAAGCGAAGAAACUUACAACAAAGAGUCCCUCCCGACUGUUUACCAAAAACACAGCACUCUGCUAACUCGUAAGAGGAUGUAUAGGGUGUGACGCCUGCCCGGUGCUCGAAGGUUAAUUGAUGGGGUUAGCAUUAGCGAAGCUCUUGAUCGAAGCCCGAGUAAACGGCGGCCGUAACUAUAACGGUCCUAAGGUAGCGAAAUUCCUUGUCGGUUAAAUACCGACCUGCAUGAAUGGCGUAACGAGAUGGGAGCUGUCUCAAAGAGGGAUCCAGUGAAAUUGUAGUGGAGGUGAAAAUUCCUCCUACCCGCGGCAAGACGGAGAGACCCCGUGGACCUUUACUACAGCUUGACACUGCUAUUUGGAUAAGAAUGUGCAGGAUAGGUGGGAGGCUUUGAGUAUAUGACGCCAGUUGUAUAUGAGCCAUUGUUGAGAUACCACUCUUUCUUAUUUGGGUAGCUAACCAGCUUGAGUUAUCCUCAAGUGGGACAAUGUCUGGUGGGUAGUUUGACUGGGGCGGUCGCCUCCCAAAUAAUAACGGAGGCUUACAAAGGUUGGCUCAGAACGGUUGGAAAUCGUUCGUAGAGUAUAAAGGUAUAAGCCAGCUUAACUGCAAGACAUACAAGUCAAGCAGAGACGAAAGUCGGUCUUAGUGAUCCGGUGGUUCUGUGUGGAAGGGCCAUCGCUCAAAGGAUAAAAGGUACCCCGGGGAUAACAGGCUGAUCUCCCCCAAGAGCUCACAUCGACGGGGAGGUUUGGCACCUCGAUGUCGGCUCAUCGCAUCCUGGGGCUGGAGCAAGUCCCAAGGGUAUGGCUGUUCGCCAUUUAAAGCGGUACGCGAGCUGGGUUCAGAACGUCGUGAGACAGUUCGGUCCCUAUCUGCCGUGGGCGUAAGAAGAUUGAAGAGAUUUGACCCUAGUACGAGAGGACCGGGUUGAACAAACCACUGGUGUAGCUGUUGUUCUGCCAAGAGCAUCGCAGCGUAGCUAAGUUUGGAAAGGAUAAACGCUGAAAGCAUCUAAGCGUGAAGCCAACUCUAAGAUGAAUCUUCUCUAAGCUCUCUAGAAGACUACUAGUUUGAUAGGCUGGGUGUGUAAUGGAUGAAAGUCCUUUAGCUGACCAGUACUAAUAGAGCGUUUGGCUUAUCUUUAAUAAAGCAU
Molecule: ribosomal RNA, 2923 nt
Filed under: Campylobacter coli
Lineage: Bacteria; Pseudomonadati; Campylobacterota; Epsilonproteobacteria; Campylobacterales; Campylobacteraceae
Description: 23S ribosomal RNA
Rfam family: Bacterial large subunit ribosomal RNA
Source: RNAcentral